GACGAACGCUGGCGGUGUGCUUAACACAUGCAAGUCGAACGGUAAGGCCCUUUUGGGGGUACACGCGUGGGGGACGGGUGAGUAACACGUGAGUAACCUUCCCUCCUCUCUGGGUUAACUGUCUGCAACGGUUUCUAAUUCUGGAUAUGAGCUUGCAAGGCCUCUUGUGGGUUGGUAAGAUUUUUUUUGGUUGGGGAUGUACUCGCGGCCUUUCAGCUUGUUGGUGUGGUAGUGGCUCACCAAGGCUUCGACGGGUAGCCGGCCUGAGAGGGCGAGCGGCCACAUUGGGACUGAGAGACGGCCCAAACUCCUACGGGAGGCAGCAGUGGGGAAUAUUGCACAAUGGACGGAAGUCUGAUGCAGCAACGCCGCGUGCGGGAUGACGGCCUUCGGGUUGUAAACCGCUUUCAAUUGUGACGAAGCUUUUUUGUGACGGUAGCAGUAGAAGAAGCACCGGCUAACUACGUG
Molecule: ribosomal RNA, 468 nt
Filed under: uncultured bacterium
Lineage: Bacteria
Description: partial 16S ribosomal RNA
Rfam family: Bacterial small subunit ribosomal RNA
Source: RNAcentral